RNAcentral lists this ribosomal RNA (119 nucleotides) under Lepisosteus oculatus (spotted gar). The record is from RNAcentral. Lineage: Eukaryota; Metazoa; Chordata; Actinopteri; Semionotiformes; Lepisosteidae.
GCCAGCAGCCAUAUCAGCCUGCAGCUCACAGCUGGCAGCCCACUGGAGCUCAGCAGGUGUGAGCCUGGUCAGUACCUGGAUGGGAGACUCCUGGGGAAAAACUCAGGUUGCUGCUGGAA